GAUGAACGCUGGCGGCGUGCCUAAUACAUGCAAGUCGAGCGAACAGAUAAGGAGCUUGCUCCUUUGACGUUAGCGGCGGACGGGUGAGUUACACGUGGAUAACCUACCUAUAAGACUGGGAUAACUUCGGGAAACCGGAGCUAAUACCUGAUAACAUAUUGAACCGCAUGGUUCAAUAGUGAAAGGCGGCUUUGCUGUCACUUAUAGAUGGAUCCGCGCCGUAUUAGCUAGUUGGUAAGGUAACGGCUUACCAAGGCAACGAUACGUAGCCGACCUGAGAGGGUGAUCGGCCACACUGGAACUGAGACACGGUCCAGACUCCUACGGGAGGCAGCAGUAGGGAAUCUUCCGCAAUGGGCGAAAGCCUGACGGAGCAACGCCGCGUGAGUGAUGAAGGUCUUCGGAUCGUAAAACUCUGUUAUCAGGGAAGAACAAAUGUGUAAGUAACUGUGCACAUCUUGACGGUACCUGAUCAGAAAGCCACGGCUAACUACGUG
RNAcentral lists this ribosomal RNA (497 nucleotides) under uncultured bacterium. Its description in RNAcentral is "partial 16S ribosomal RNA". It matches the Rfam family "Bacterial small subunit ribosomal RNA", at positions 28 to 507 of the family's 1533-position model. The record is from RNAcentral.